RNAcentral lists this ribosomal RNA (377 nucleotides) under uncultured bacterium. RNAcentral's name for it is "bacterial SSU rRNA". It matches the Rfam family "Bacterial small subunit ribosomal RNA", at positions 28 to 407 of the family's 1533-position model. The record is from RNAcentral.
GACGAACGCUGGCGGCGUGCUAACACAUGCAAGUCGAGCGGUAAGGCCCUUUCGGGGGUACACGAGCGGCGAACGGGUGAGUAACACGUGGGUGACCUGCCCUUAGCUCUGGGAUAAGCCUGGGAAACUGGGUCUAAUACCGGAUAUGACUCCAUAACGCAUGUUGUGGGGUGGAAAGCCUUGUGCGGCUAGGGAUGGGCCCGCGGCCUAUCAGCUUGUUGGUGGGGUGAUGGCCUACCAAGGCGACGACGGGUAGCCGGCCUGAGAGGGCGACCGGCCACACUGGGACUGAGACACGGCCCAGACUCCUACGGGAGGCAGCAGUGGGGAAUCUUGCGCAAUGGGCGAAAGCCUGACGCAGCGACGCCGCGUGGGGA